CCUACGGGUGGCAGCAGUGGGGAAUAUUGCACAAUGGGGGGAACCCUGAUGCAGCGAUGCCGCGUGAAUGAAGAAGUUUUUCGGCUUGUAAACUUCUUUUAUACGGGACGAAGAAAGUGACUGUACCGUACGAAUAAGCCACGUCUAACUCCGUGCAAGCAGCCGCGGUAAUACGUAGGUGACAAGCGUUAUCCGGAUUUACUGGGUGUAAAGGGCGAGUAGGCGGGAUUGCAAGUCAGAUGUGAAAACUAUGGGCUCAACCGGUAGAGUGCAUUUGAAACUGGAGUUCUUGAGUGGUGGAGAGGCAGGUGGAAUUCCCGGUGUAGCGGUGGAAUGCGUAGAUAUUGGGAGGAACACCAGUGGCGAAGGCGGCUUGCUGGACAGUAACUGACGUUGAGGCGCGAAAGCGUGGGGAGCAAACAGGAUUAGAUACCCUUGUAGUC
Molecule: ribosomal RNA, 443 nt
Filed under: uncultured bacterium
Lineage: Bacteria
Description: partial 16S ribosomal RNA
Rfam family: Bacterial small subunit ribosomal RNA
Source: RNAcentral